RNAcentral lists this ribosomal RNA (468 nucleotides) under uncultured bacterium. RNAcentral's name for it is "partial 16S ribosomal RNA". It matches the Rfam family "Bacterial small subunit ribosomal RNA", at positions 28 to 507 of the family's 1533-position model. The record is from RNAcentral.
GACGAACGCUGGCGGCGUGCUUAACACAUGCAAGUCGAACGGAAAGGCCCUGCUUUUGUGGGGUGCUCGAGUGGCGAACGGGUGAGUAACACGUGAGUAACCUGCCCUUGACUUUGGGAUAACUUCAGGAAACUGGGGCUAAUACCGGAUAGGAGCUCCUGCUGCAUGGUGGGGGUUGGAAAGUUUCGGCGGUUGGGGAUGGACUCGCGGCUUAUCAGCUUGUUGGUGGGGUAGUGGCUUACCAAGGCUUUGACGGGUAGCCGGCCUGAGAGGGUGACCGGCAAAAUUGGGACUGAGAUAGGGCCCAGACUCCUACGGGAGGCAGCAGUGGGGAAUAUUGCACAAUGGGCGGAAGCCUGAUGCAGCAAAGCCGCGUGCGGGAUGACGGCCUUCGGGUUGUAAACCGCUUUCGCCUGUGACGAAGCGUGAGUGACGGUAAUGGGUAAAGAAGCACCGGCUAACUACGUG